AGGUCACAAGGUCAGGGCCAUCAUUAUCUGUGUAGGGAGGCUGUCCCAUAAGCGGAGACAUGAAUGCUGCCCCAGUCGAUUGCAGGAAACACCUAAUAGGCAAAAUAAAAGGCAUGGCUGAAUGAG
This is a non-coding RNA of Pantherophis guttatus, 126 nucleotides long. The record is from RefSeq and is a predicted model, not a curated record. NCBI's taxonomy places the organism in Eukaryota, Metazoa, Chordata, Lepidosauria, Squamata, Colubridae.